Molecule: transfer-messenger RNA, 402 nt
Filed under: Alphaproteobacteria bacterium
Lineage: Bacteria; Pseudomonadati; Pseudomonadota; Alphaproteobacteria
Rfam family: Alphaproteobacteria transfer-messenger RNA
About the family: Bacterial tmRNA, also known as 10Sa RNA or SsrA, is named for its dual tRNA and mRNA-like properties.
Source: RNAcentral
UCAAUUAUCGAUUCAUCUGUUCGCCGGGUUCUGGGUAGUGAAACACUUGCCUCUAUUCUGACCGGAGAGCGUGAAAUAAGCAGGGCGGACCCGGGGGCGGUACCCGGCGCCUCCACCAUUUUUUCAAGAUAGGCUAGCCAGACGGACUUAUACCGUCAGAGCUGGCCCGUGGCAGAAAAAAUAUGCGGGGGCGAAAUAGGAUCGACGCAUGUGGUAAAGGCUCUAUUUUCGUUCGGUAUGGUACCCGCCGUUAUCGGGCCAUUGUAGUAGUUGCAAAUGACAACACUGCUCCGGUUGCUAUCGCUGCUUAAUGCAGCAGGCGUAGCCGACUUAAAGUCCUAGCCGCUUGAGCUCGGUUAGGCGGGGUUUGGGGGCGCACCUGGCAACAGAAGCGUUCCUGCU